GCCUCGGUGGAUCAAUUGGCAGAUCAUCCCAGCUUUAUAUAACCGGUAUACGGGAGAACGGAGGUUCGAAUCCUCCCCAAGGCA
Mycena rebaudengoi is the source of this 84-nucleotide non-coding RNA. The record is from the annotation of a GenBank genome assembly. Lineage: Eukaryota; Fungi; Basidiomycota; Agaricomycetes; Agaricales; Mycenaceae.